RNAcentral lists this ribosomal RNA (575 nucleotides) under uncultured bacterium. RNAcentral's name for it is "bacterial SSU rRNA". It matches the Rfam family "Bacterial small subunit ribosomal RNA", at positions 778 to 1354 of the family's 1533-position model. The record is from RNAcentral.
UUAGAUACCCCGGUAGUCCACGCCGUAAACGAUGUCUACUAGCCGUUGGAGGACUUGAUCCUUUAGUGGCGCAGCUAACGCGAUAAGUAGACCGCCUGGGGAGUACGGUCGCAAGAUUAAAACUCAAAUGAAUUGACGGGGGCCCGCACAAGCGGUGGAGCAUGUGGUUUAAUUCGAAGCAACGCGAAGAACCUUACCUACUCUUGACAUCCAGUGAACUUUUGAGAGAUCAAUUGGUGCCUUCGGGAACACUGAGACAGGUGCUGCAUGGCUGUCGUCAGCUCGUGUUGUGAAAUGUUGGGUUAAGUCCCGUAACGAGCGCAACCCUUGUCCUUAGUUACCAUCAUUAAGUUGGGGACUCUAAGGAGACUGCCGGUGACAAACCGGAGGAAGGCGGGGACGACGUCAAGUCAUCAUGGCCCUUACGAGUAGGGCUACACACGUGCUACAAUGGCAUGUACAAAGGGUUGCCAAGCCGCGAGGUGGAGCUAAUCCCAUAAAGCAUGUCGUAGUCCGGAUUGGAGUCUGCAACUCGACUCCAUGAAGUCGGAAUCGCUAGUAAUCGUGAAUCAGAA